Molecule: ribosomal RNA, 538 nt
Filed under: uncultured Glomeromycotina
Lineage: Eukaryota; Fungi; Glomeromycota
Description: SSU rRNA
Rfam family: Eukaryotic small subunit ribosomal RNA
Source: RNAcentral
AGGGCAAGUCUGGUGCCAGCAGCCGCGGUAAUUCCAGCUCCAAUAGCGUAUAUUAAAGUUGUUGCAGUUAAAAAGCUCGUAGUUGAAUUUCGGGGUUCUACCGUUGGUCGGGCUUUGUCUGUACUGGCGUGUAGAAUUUCUACCUUCUGGGGAACCAUUAUGUUAUUAAUUUAGCGUAGUGGGAAACCAGGACCUUUACCUUGAAAAAAUUAGAGUGUUCAAAGCAGGCUUAUGUCUGAAUACAUUAGCAUGGAAUAAUAGAAUAGGACGGUGGUCCUGUUUUGUUGGUUUCUGAAUCACCGUAAUGAUUAAUAGGGAUAGUUGGGGGCAUUAGUAUUCAAUUGUCAGAGGUGAAAUUCUUGGACUUAUUGAAGACUAACUUCUGCGAAAGCAUUUGCCAAGGAUGUUUUCAUUAAUCAAGAACGAAAGUUAGGGGAUCGAAGACGAUCAGACACCGUCGUAGUCUUAACCAUAAACUAUGCCGACUAGGGAUCGGACGAUGUUAAUUUUUCUUGACUCGUUCGGCGCCUUACGGGAA